AGAGUUUGAUCCUGGCUCAGGAUGAACGCUGGCGGCAUGCCUAAUACAUGCAAGUCGAACGAGAGGAAGGAAAGCUUGCUUUUCUGAAUCUAGUGGCGAACGGGUGAGUAACACGUAGGUAACCUGCCCAUGUGUCCGGGAUAACUUCUGGAAACGGAUGCUAAAACCGGAUAGGUAGCAGACAAGCAUUUGACUGCUAUUAAAGUGGCUUUGGCCAUGAACAUGGAUGGACCUGCGGUGCAUUAGCUGGUUGGUGAGGUAACGGCCCACCAAGGCGACGAUGCAUAGCCGGCCUGAGAGGGCGGACGGCCACAUUGGGACUGAGACACGGCCCAAACUCCUACGGGAGGCAGCAGUAGGGAAUUUUCGUCAAUGGGGGGAACCCUGAACGAGCAAUGCCGCGUGAGUGAGGAAGGUCUUCGGAUCGUAAAGCUCUGUUGUAAGAGAAAAACGGCACUCAUAGGGAAUGAUGAGUGAGUGAUGGUAUCUUACCAGAAAGUCACGGCUAACUACGUGCCAGCAGCCGCGGUAAUACGUAGGUGGCGAGCGUUAUCCGGAAUGAUUGGGCGUAAAGGGUGCGUAGGUGGCAGAUCAAGUCUGGAGUAAAAGGUAUGGGCUCAACCCGUACUGGCUCUGGAAACUGAUCAGCUAGAGAACAGAAGAGGACGGCGGAACUCCAUGUGUAGCGGUAAAAUGCGUAGAUAUAUGGAAGAACACCGGUGGCGAAGGCGGCCGUCUGGUCUGGAUUCUGACACUGAAGCACGAAAGCGUGGGGAGCAAAUAGGAUUAGAUACCCUAGUAGUCCACGCCGUA
RNAcentral lists this ribosomal RNA (813 nucleotides) under uncultured bacterium. Its description in RNAcentral is "bacterial SSU rRNA". It matches the Rfam family "Bacterial small subunit ribosomal RNA", at positions 8 to 804 of the family's 1533-position model. The record is from RNAcentral.